This is a long non-coding RNA of Oncorhynchus gorbuscha (pink salmon), 266 nucleotides long. RefSeq lists it as uncharacterized. The transcript has 3 exons. Lineage: Eukaryota; Metazoa; Chordata; Actinopteri; Salmoniformes; Salmonidae. The record is from RefSeq and is a predicted model, not a curated record.
ACGCACACGAGUUACUUGUGAAUAUGCUGUGCUGUGCCAGCUGAAGGAGGAGGGAAUGAUACUGAAGACACUCGGGGUGAACUAUACCUGCCCUGUUUCCCAGCUGGAGUUCCAGCUUGUCUCAGUGCGCACAUGUACCAGGGCGAAAAGGUUGAAUGAAUUCACAUGUGCGGGCUGCAAAGGCCUCUACAGCUCAAAAGUGGAGCAGUUCCACACACUGCCUCUUGUGCUGGUUCUGCACCUGAAGAGGUUCGGAGGACCUGGGG